Cordylochernes scorpioides is the source of this 90-nucleotide non-coding RNA. The record is from the annotation of a GenBank genome assembly. NCBI's taxonomy places the organism in Eukaryota, Metazoa, Arthropoda, Arachnida, Pseudoscorpiones, Chernetidae.
UACACACAUUGCUGGUGUUGAUAACAGGUGAAGAAGGUUGACAAAAUUAACCGUCAAAUUUUCGACUUGUUCGACAUCGACAAUGAGGUA